AACGUAGGAGACAAACGUUAUCCGGAGUUACUGGGCGUAAAGGGCGUGUAGGUGGUUUCGUAAGUCUGGCGUGAAAUAUCUCGGCUUAACCGAGGCAGGUCGUCGGAUACUGCGGAACUAGAGGACGGUAGAGGCGUGUGGAAUUCCGGGUGUAGUGGUGAAAUGCGCAGAUAUCAGGAGGAACACCGGUGGCGAAGGCGGGUCUCUGGGCAGUAACUGACGCUGAGGAGCGAAAGCGUGGGGAGCGAACAGG
RNAcentral lists this ribosomal RNA (253 nucleotides) under uncultured bacterium. Its description in RNAcentral is "partial 16S ribosomal RNA". It matches the Rfam family "Bacterial small subunit ribosomal RNA", at positions 524 to 776 of the family's 1533-position model. The record is from RNAcentral.